CAGCCAAGCUCGUUUCUGGAGUUUUGGGUGGGUCCGGAUGAGAGAAGACAAUAGCUAACUUUAUGGCUGUCAUUCUGGGAAAUCAUUCCCUUGAGAACAGAGCUUUGUCAAAAGAAGGUGGAUUCUACAAAAGAUUAAGCAGUAAAUGACUCAAAAGAUGAUCAGGCAAUGGGGGAAAAUUAGCCAAGAGCUGAUUCCUAUGAAAUGUUUUAUUAUUCCUGUGAAAUUUUUGCAUUAAUCAAGACCAUGAAUUUGGAAGGAGCCCUUCUUGGAGAAGACCUCUUCAUUGGAAGCAAUGGUCCCUGUACAGGUGGCUGAGAGGAACACAACAAAAGCAACGUCCAGGUAGAGCAGGAAGGAUGCCCCUCAGGAGCAAGGAGUGGUCAUCAGGUGAAACCCAAGGUGUCUUCUUAGAGAGUGAAGGUCCCGGGUACCUGCCGCCAGGUCCUAGUGACCAGCCCCCAGAGUGGAA
Molecule: long non-coding RNA, 472 nt
Filed under: Homo sapiens (human)
Lineage: Eukaryota; Metazoa; Chordata; Mammalia; Primates; Hominidae
Description: non-protein coding lnc-TTYH1-2:1
Source: RNAcentral